GACGAACGCUGGCGGCGUGCUUAACACAUGCAAGUCGAACGGUAAGGCCCCAGCUUGCUGGGGUACACGAGUGGCGAACGGGUGAGUAACACGUGGGUGACCUGCCCCGCACUUCGGGAUAAGCCUGGGAAACUGGGUCUAAUACCGGAUAGGACCGCACCGUGAGGGUGUGGUGGAAAGUUUUUCGGUGUGGGAUGGGCCCGCGGCCUAUCAGCUUGUUGGUGGGGUAAUGGCCUACCAAGGCGGCGACGGGUAGCCGGCCUGAGAGGGUGGACGGCCACAUUGGGACUGAGACACGGCCCAGACUCCUACGGGAGGCAGCAGUAGGGAAUCUUCCGCAAUGGACGAAAGUCUGACGGAGCAACGCCGCGUGAGUGAUGAAGGGUUUCGGCUCGUAAAGCUCUGUUGUUAGGGAAGAAACAGUACCGAACGAACUAGGUCGGUACCUUGACGGUACCUAACCAGAAAGCCACGGCUAACUACGUG
This 486-nucleotide ribosomal RNA is filed under the name uncultured bacterium. Its description in RNAcentral is "partial 16S ribosomal RNA". It matches the Rfam family "Bacterial small subunit ribosomal RNA", at positions 28 to 507 of the family's 1533-position model. The record is from RNAcentral.